RNAcentral lists this long non-coding RNA (1140 nucleotides) under Anas platyrhynchos platyrhynchos (common mallard). RNAcentral describes it as "lncRNA (ENSAPLG00000025106.1)". The record is from RNAcentral. Lineage: Eukaryota; Metazoa; Chordata; Aves; Anseriformes; Anatidae.
AAUAAGUAAAUGAUGAUUAAAAAAAAAAAAAAAUCCAUAAUCUAGUACAUAAUUAGCAAAAUACAUAUCUACCGUUAAAGAAAAAUAAUACUUAGAAUAAAAAAUCUUUGGCAACCUUAUCUUUGUUUAGAAUGAGCAACAGAUGUCCCAAACACAUGCUCUACUUUUAGUUAAGAUAGAGGAAUGGGGAAGGGGAAGGGGAAGGGAAAGGGGAAGUGGAAGGGAAUGAAUCUUUUUUAAACAAAUUAUCUUUAUAUGUGCAUAUAUAAUUAUAUGCAUGUAUAAAUGUUAGUACUCUUACUACUAGCAUAGUAUUCAAUGCUAAGCUCCUCACUUUUUAAGGCAUCAAAGCAACUGUGACACUUCAUUGUUACCCUGGAUCCCCAUUGAACGGCCUCUCCCUGCAAAUUACCUUUAUCUAGGGACCUCUGUGUGGUUUCUUUGCUCCCUCUGUGUUUCAUCUCUUUAUUGCUGCAGAAAUCUCACCACCAAUAUGUUACUGUUGAAUUUCAAUCAACAUCUUUUUCGUCUUACUUUGCAGAAUUUUGGCAUCCCAGAGAUUCAGUCAGCCCUACCUUGCAAGGAAAAAAAAAAAUGUUUUUUCCACAGCAGCAAUGACAAUUUUUGUCUAUCUUCUGAGCAGUUUUUAUCCCAGUCUUUACUUACUUACUGUUUUUCUCUUAGCCACUAUCUUCUUAAGCAGUGGCUUAGAAGAUCCUGUAUGACAAAUAUCCUCCAGUUCCUCCCCUUUCCAAUAUGAUGUUAUCAAAAAGAUUGACAGGCAGCUUUUAUUUCUUAUGUAUUGAAAUGGACCACAUUUGUUAUUCUUAAUCACAUUUUGCUGUUUUGUUGAUGGCAGAGGUGGGGGAGGGAGAUUUUCUCCUCACAGAAAUAAGAAUGUUUUUACUUUUCAUUUAUGCACUUUUCAGCAUUUGAAAAAUGUAACAAAUUUGCUAUGUUUAUUCAUCUUCUGGUGUUCUUUAGUUUACCUAGCACUGUGGUACAGUAUGCUUUUGAGGUCUGACUCACUAGGCAACUAUUCAUUCUGGGGCUGAUUACGUAUUCUGAAAAUGUUGUAUUUGUUCAUUAUGUUGUCCUGUAAAUUCAAAAAUAUUAAUAAACCUCCUACACACAUUAGCA